GCAACUGUAGCUUAGCUGGAUAGAGCGUUCGGCUACGAACCGGAAGGUCGGGGGUUCAAAUCCCUCCAGUUGCACCA
Molecule: transfer RNA, 77 nt
Filed under: Clostridiales bacterium
Lineage: Bacteria; Bacillati; Bacillota; Clostridia; Eubacteriales
Description: tRNA-Arg
Rfam family: tRNA
About the family: Transfer RNA (tRNA) molecules are approximately 80 nucleotides in length.
Source: RNAcentral